GCCCUUAUAGCUCAGUUGGUAGAGCAGUUGCCUCUUAAGCAAACGGUCCCAGGUUCGAGUCCUGGUGGGGGCACCA
This 76-nucleotide transfer RNA is filed under the name Patescibacteria group bacterium. RNAcentral describes it as "tRNA-Lys". It matches the Rfam family "tRNA". Rfam says of the family: Transfer RNA (tRNA) molecules are approximately 80 nucleotides in length. Their secondary structure includes four short double-helical elements and three loops (D, anti-codon, and T loops). RNAcentral also lists the same sequence under 1 other name. The record is from RNAcentral.